RNAcentral lists this ribosomal RNA (386 nucleotides) under uncultured bacterium. RNAcentral's name for it is "bacterial SSU rRNA". It matches the Rfam family "Archaeal small subunit ribosomal RNA", at positions 339 to 727 of the family's 1478-position model. The record is from RNAcentral.
UCGCGAAAACUUCGCAAUGGGGGCAACCCCGACGAGGGAAUUCCAAGUGCCAGCACUUUGUGUUGGCUGUUCUCCUGUCUAAAAAACAGGAGGAGUAAGGGGCGGGUAAGACGGGUGCCAGCCGCCGCGGUAAUACCCGCGCCCCUAGUGGUGGUCGAUAUUAUUGAGCCUAAAACGUCCGUAGCCGGUCUUCUAAAUCCUUGGGUAAAUCGGGCAGCUUAACUGUCCGAAGUCCGGGGAGACUGGGAGACUUGGGACCGGGAGAGGUCAGAGGUACUUCUGGGGUAGGGGUAAAAUCCUGUAAUCCUGGAAGGACCACCGGUGGCGAAGGCGUCUGACUAGAACGGAUCCGACGGUGAGGGACGAAGCCCUGGGGCGCAAACGGG